RNAcentral lists this ribosomal RNA (1146 nucleotides) under Triticum aestivum (bread wheat). RNAcentral's name for it is "partial small subunit ribosomal RNA". Lineage: Eukaryota; Viridiplantae; Streptophyta; Magnoliopsida; Poales; Poaceae. The record is from RNAcentral.
AUGGUCAAUGCACAGAUGGUGAGUGGGUACUUGGACAAUUCGUUCAAUGCACUCGUGGUUUCUGGUGGCGGUGAGAGUGGUGGACAGACACAGAAUGGUGUCACAGACACCACCUUGUCAGGUUGGAAGGACCUCCCCAUGGAGCUUCUGCUGAGGAUCAUAUCAGUCGCUGGAGAUGACAGGAUGGCCAUUGUAGCCUCCGGUGUUUGCACCGGGUGGCGUGAUGCACUAGGAUGGGGAGCCACUAGUCUCUCCUUCUCGUGGUGCCAGGACCACAUGAAUGAGUUGGUGAUAUCACUCGCCCACAAAUUUACAAAGCUUCAAGUCCUUUCUCUAAGGCAAAUCAAGCCUCAGCUUGAAGACAGUGCAGUGGAGGCUGUAGCAAAUUCUUGUCAUGAUUUGCGCGAGUUGGAUCUGAGCAGAAGCUUCAGGCUUAGCGAUCGGUCCUUGUAUGCUCUGGCACAUGGGUGCCCUCGCCUUACAAGGCUGAACAUCAGUGGAUGUUCCAAUUUCAGUGAUGCUGCUUUGAUCUACCUCACUAGUCAGUGCAAGAACUUGAAAUGCUUGAAUCUAUGCGGGUGUGUGCGGGCAGCAUCCGACAGAGCGUUGCAGGCUAUAGCCUGCAACUGUAGUCAGCUGCAAUCUUUGAACCUUGGUUGGUGCGAUACUGUCACUGACGGGGGAGUCACUAGCUUGGCAUCAGGAUGUCCUGAACUUAGGGCCGUCGACUUGUGUGGCUGCGUUCUUAUAACAGAUGAGAGUGUGGUUGCUCUUGCAAACGGCUGCCCUCACCUGCGUUCCCUGGGGCUGUACUACUGCCAGAACAUCACCGACCGUGCCAUGUACUCGCUGGCAGAGAACAGCCGCAUCAGGAGCAAGGGCAUGAGCUGGGACACGGCUAAGAACAGCCGCGGCCGCGACGACAAGGACGGCCUCGCCAGCCUGAACAUCAGCCAGUGCACCGCGCUGACGCCCCCGGCAGUGCAGGCGGUGUGCGACUCCUUCCCGGCGCUCCACACCUGCCCGGAGAGGCACUCCCUCAUCAUCAGCGGCUGCCUGAGCCUCACCACCGUGCACUGCGCGUGCGCCCACCACCGGCACCGCGCCGGGGCCGGGAGAGCCAUCCUGUCUAACCAUGCCUACUGA